CAGCAGCCACGGUAAUACGUAGGUGGCAAGCGUUGUCCGGAAUUAUUGGGCGUAAAGGGCUCGCAGGCGGUUUCUUAAGUCUGAUGUGAAAGCCCCCGGCUCAACCGGGGAGGGUCAUUGGAAACUGGGAAACUUGAGUGCGGGAGAGGAGAGUGGGAUUCCACGUGUAGCGGUGAAAUGCGUAGAGAUGUGGAGGAACACCAGUGGCGAAGGCGACUCUCUGGUCUGUAACUGAUGCUGAGGAGCGAAAGCGUGGGGAGCGAACAGGAUUAGAUACCCCCGUAGUCCCUGUCUCUUAUAC
Molecule: ribosomal RNA, 301 nt
Filed under: uncultured bacterium
Lineage: Bacteria
Description: partial 16S ribosomal RNA
Rfam family: Bacterial small subunit ribosomal RNA
Source: RNAcentral